Molecule: ribosomal RNA, 253 nt
Filed under: uncultured bacterium
Lineage: Bacteria
Description: partial 16S ribosomal RNA
Rfam family: Bacterial small subunit ribosomal RNA
Source: RNAcentral
UACGUAGGUGGCAAGCGUUAUCCGGAAUUAUUGGGCGUAAAGAGCGCGCAGGUGGUUAAUUAAGUCUGAUGUGAAAGCCCACGGCUUAACCGUGGAGGGUCAUUGGAAACUGGUUGACUUGAGUGCAGAAGAGGGAAGUGGAAUUCCAUGUGUAGCGGUGAAAUGCGUAGAGAUAUGGAGGAACACCGGUGGCGAAAGCGGCUCUCUGGCCUGUAACUGACACUGAGGCUCGAAAGCGUGGGGAGCAAAUAGG